This is a non-coding RNA of Petromyzon marinus (sea lamprey), 324 nucleotides long. The record is from RefSeq and is a predicted model, not a curated record. Lineage: Eukaryota; Metazoa; Chordata; Hyperoartia; Petromyzontiformes; Petromyzontidae.
CAGAGUCACGUGUGGUUGCUCCGAGUCACGUGUGAUUGCUCAGAGUCACGUGUGGUUGCUCUGAGUCACGUGUGGUUGCUCUGAGUCACGUGUGAGUUCAGUUGCUUGCGGUUGAAGUUGCUGGCAACUUUGUGUUCCCCAGUGUCGCCUCAACGAGUCGCCCUGGGCACAGCAGAGACACGGAGAAGGAUCGGUCCUUUGAAGUCACUAAACAUCAACAAAUCAGCAGACACAAUAAACCCCAAGGAGUUUCACAAUGGGCGUGUCGGGGAGAUGAAGGAGCUGCAAAGCCUUGGUAAGUGGGUUGGUGAGUGGGUUGGUGAG